RNAcentral lists this long non-coding RNA (261 nucleotides) under Lathyrus oleraceus (garden pea). RNAcentral describes it as "Pisum sativum (pea) long non-coding RNA (PSAT_LNC017182)". Lineage: Eukaryota; Viridiplantae; Streptophyta; Magnoliopsida; Fabales; Fabaceae. The record is from RNAcentral.
AGGUAAUGAGAAAGGCAAAAGGCCCCUGAAACCCCUUAAGGUUUUGUACCACAAGGAAGAGGUUAGGGAUGUGGCUAACGAGAUAUCAUCGUUUCCCAGUAAGAGCAUUGAGAUAUCACCUUGGAUUUCUAAUGUCACUACCCAUGCCAACGGAAGCAAAGAAGAAGUGAGUAGUGGAUCCAAGAGGGUUGCGUCCAAUAAUGAGAUUGAAGGAAAAGAAUUUGAAGAUCGUCGUGUCAAUGUCAAAAAGCUUGUUGAUUG